Molecule: ribosomal RNA, 263 nt
Filed under: uncultured bacterium
Lineage: Bacteria
Description: partial 16S ribosomal RNA
Rfam family: Bacterial small subunit ribosomal RNA
Source: RNAcentral
CCUAGUGGCGGACGGGUGAGUAACGCGUGGGUAACCUGCCUUACACAGGGGGAUAACACUUAGAAAUAGGUGCUAAUACCGCAUGAGCGCACAGGACCGCAUGGUCGAGUGUGAAAAACUGAGGUGGUGUAAGAUGGACCCGCGUCUGAUUAGCUAGUUGGUGAGGUAACGGCCCACCAAGGCGACGAUCAGUAGCCGGCCUGAGAGGGUGGACGGCCACAUUGGGACUGAGACACGGCCCAAACUCCUACGGAAGGCAGCAG